CCAGGUGAUCUCGCCCCAAGCGCGCAAAGCAUGAUUUCCACUGCAAAUAGAAAUCCAUACCAGCAUGCCACGCGAGCGUACUGUAAAGAAAAAUAUUUUCUCCGCGAGACAAAAACGCAGCUGAAGAAGACAUAAAUGAGAGAUAUUUUGGUCGAUCUUGCGCGAUUUUUUUGGAGAAUGAUCCUCAGAAACAAAAAGCAAGGAGUAUCUGCGAUCAUGGUUAGCCUGGAUGAAAACAGAACGAACUUGAUUAAAAAAACUAUGAUUUUAGGGCAAUGGUUUUGCUCGAACUUAAUACAGUGGACAUGAACAUGCUCAUGCAGGCGAGUUAAAUUGCGAUAAAUUUUUAGUUUAUAUGAUGUUGAUUUCAGUAAAUUUAAGUUAUUUCAAUAAAGUUUUACAUGAAGUUAAUUUGUAUGUGUCUGCCUUGUCUAAAAUUGUUUUUUG
This is a non-coding RNA of Paramuricea clavata, 447 nucleotides long. The record is from the annotation of a GenBank genome assembly. NCBI's taxonomy places the organism in Eukaryota, Metazoa, Cnidaria, Anthozoa, Malacalcyonacea, Plexauridae.